RNAcentral lists this ribosomal RNA (2112 nucleotides) under Triticum aestivum (bread wheat). Its description in RNAcentral is "partial small subunit ribosomal RNA". Lineage: Eukaryota; Viridiplantae; Streptophyta; Magnoliopsida; Poales; Poaceae. The record is from RNAcentral.
AUGGCGGCCACGGCGGCCGAGGAGCCGCAGGAGCCCCGACGGGGCGUCGACGGCGAGCUGAGCGGACUCGACCCCGGCCCCGGGUCGUGUGAAGCGGCGCCCGCCCGCGAACCGGUGCCCACGGAGAUGCCGGCGGCGGCGGAGGCGGAGUCCUCGUCGAUGAGAAAGCUUGGGCGGCUCUUCAGGCUCACCGAAGUGCACCUCUGGGAUGAUUUUUAUGUGAAGCCUCACGAUUGGCGUGCCACUGAGACGGUUGGUUGCACGGGAUCUCAAACAGCCAAAACCCGCAACAAAGCAGCCAAGCAGACAGAUGAAGACCAUUCAUUUGUUGAAGAUAUGGAAUUGGCUAGUCUCAUGGGUUCUUUGGGGCUUCCUGUUUCAUUCAGCACAAGGAAAGAGAAAAAGAAGACACCUGCCAAGGGUAAGCAUCAGGGACGACAAGCACCAUAUGAAGCGGCAAGUACUCCAAUGGAUGAUAAUGUAAGGACAUGCACAGAUUCUGAAGAACUGGAACACGUUCAGGAGUCGAUGGAUUGCAUGGAGCAAACAAACUCAUGCGUUUCAUCUAGGACUACUGCGGGUUACAGUGAAGCCUACCAUGGUGAUGUUGAAAAGACGCUUGGUGAAGUCAGUGUUAAUCAGUGUGAACCAAAUGGUAACAUGAGCAGUCCAGUAAAAUCAGGCUCUCCUGUUCAACAAAAUGAAGCUGCGGACAGUUUUAUGCAGUUGAACAAAGUGAUGCUGGGGCGAAAUUCUGUUGAUAAUGAAUCUAUAAUGUCCUGUGCUGAACUUUGUCAUGAAGAAAAAUCGUCUGAAAGAGAAGAUACAAUAUCUGGGGAGACUCCACUCACGUCCCAUGAUAAUGAUGAUCCAUGUCCAGCAGAACCAUCUCCUGUUAAUAAUCAUGUUGAAAACUCUGGCUCUGAUUUUUACUAUGAAUGCGGAGAUUGGCAGGUUCUUUGGGAUCAGUUCUAUAGUCGGUAUUACUAUUACAACAUCCUGACACAGGAAUCUACAUGGGAUCCCCCUCAAGGAUUGGAGGAUUUUGCAUCAUAUUGUAGCACAUAUUCAUCUCAAGGGUUGGAUGAACAAGUAUCACAACUGACAAGCACACUCGUGGAAGAACACAAUCAAAUCAAUGCAAAGCUUGACAAAUCAUCUGGAGUUUUAUCCUGUGUCAAGCAUUAUAUCUCACAACCUGAUGAAGAUGUUGUACAAUAUGGAGCUAACGCGAGCCCAUGUGACAAUGGAGAAACAACAUUUGAUCAGGCUGGUGACAACGGCCAUCUAGAUGAGCAGAGGCAUGAUCUUUAUUACAAUGAAGCACAAAGUUUAUCAGACAUUCCUGAUAAAGAGUCGAUAUAUCCAAGUGUGAUAGCUACCAUCGAUGAAGUACAAGAUGGUGAAAAUAUGCAGAAUGAUAGUUCAGUGGCUGAAGUGUUAGAAGUGAGCCAGGAAGCUACCACCACCAAAAAGAAAAAGAGAGUAAGGAGAUCUCAAUCGUCUCAUUCAUGUCAGGACUUGGCAGAAAACAUUUCCAAUGACAUCGCCAAGUAUUGGAAUCAGCGGUACUCGCUUUUCUCCCUUUUUGAUAGUGGCAUAUUGAUUGACUGUUUCACGGGAGUAGGUGGAAAUACCAUCCAGUUUGCCACAAAGUGUAAGCAUGUUGUUUCUGUUGACAUUGACCCACAGAAGAUUGAUUGUGCACAGCAUAAUGCAACUGUUUAUGGAGUCAAUGAUCAUAUAGACUUCAUUAUAGGAGAUUUUAUCCGUAUAGCACCUCAUCUGAAGGGGGAAACUGUCUUCAUGUCACCUCCAUGGGGUGGACCGGACUAUGCAAAAGUAGAUGUGUAUGACGUCAAAACCAUGCUUAAGCCUUGUGAUGGGUACCAUCUCUUCAAAGUUGCCACGGCGAUCGCUUCGAGAGUAGUCAUGUUCCUUCCUCGCAACAGUGACCUAGACCAGCUGGCGGACAUGUGCUUGUCGAUCGAUCCUCCAUGGGCGGUUGAGGUGGAGAAGAAUUACCUCAAUGGGAAGCUGAAAGCCAUAACGGCAUACUUUGAGGAACAGGGCAGCGCAGACGAAAACUGCACUCUUCGUGAACACCGAUGA